ACAUCAGAGAAACGGAUUCCAAGAGAGACCCUGAGGGAGACAGAAAGUGAGUCAGUGACAAGGAAAAUAGUGACGGAGAAUAGACUGGAGCCAGAGAAACAGGCCAAGACGAUGGGAGGCCCAUGUAAUGCACCCCUGACGAAGAGUGUGUUAAGGCGUCGUCUGCACUGGACAGAGGCUGCUUCGCCUUGAACCCGACACACCGAUGGAAGGAGAGGCACCUGCCCACCUCUGCUCACCCAGCCCAGGCCUUAGAGUCGCUUGGUUCUCCCCAAGGACUUCCGAGCCGCGGGGGCUGGAGGUGGGCACAUCAUCACAGCGGCAUCUGCGGCCACAGGGAGAGACCUUUCUGUCACAUCCAAGGCCCCGUCCCACCUCCCUUUGUGGCCCCGACGACAAGGACUUGGUGUCUGGCAGGAGGGAUGGAAAGAAGGUGGAAAGCUGUUCCUCCAGGGCCAGAGACUCUGACUUUUUGCAAAGCUGGAGACCCACUUUGCUGGAACUGAAAACGGUUUGCAGCAACAGAUAAAGAAGCCGAAACCAGAGAGCAGUGACCAGCGAGUGCGUGGCAGAACCAGCCCCCGAUCCCAGGGCCCCUUGUUCCCAGGCUGCUGCCUACACAGAAUGGCAGGCACGACCUGCCUUGGUUUUCUCGUCCAUGAAACUGCUCACAGAACCAGGGAGCCGAGUUUGCGUCGCUGGCGUUCUGGAUGUGCCCUGAGCAUCCUGUUGGAAGCUGAGUCGUGACAAUCCACACGGAGCUCUUGGCAACGUGCCCCCGGCCUGGUGAGCGCCACAUGAGCCGCGCUUUGCGACCUCACCGUCCACACCCCCGGGAUGUAGCCCGGCCCACACCUGUGGGAACCGUGGCUCCCUGCCCCCCGUCCACACCUCCCGGCCUCCCCGGCCCUGGGAGCACCACGGCCCGUGGCUUUUUCUCCUCCCACGGCUCAGAUGAGGCACGGAGGCCCGCGGAAGGUGAGGACGGCCUCCGUGCCCCCGCGAGAAGGAGGCUCUCGGGCCCAGGCCGCGGACGCCAGAGUCGCUGCUCUUUGCGCCGCAUGGCAAAGCAGCUUCUGCCCCGGCACCGAUGCCAGGACUCCGGCCCGGCCCUCGGCCCCGGCGUGUCUGCUGGGCUCCGGGCCAUCCGAGGCCAGCCAGGGCAGGUGGGCGGGGGCCCCGAGACGGGCCGCAGUCAGUGAGGGCCGUGCAGGCGGCCUCGGUCUCCCCGGUGCCCAGGCCAUGCAGCCCCUCCCGAUCAGGGGCGGCCGCAGAGGUCAUGAGGAGCACUAACGGCCUCAGCUCCGAUGGCCCGAUUUAUGAUGACACAAGAAGCAAAUUCAGCUUCUGGCCCGAGGAGACAGCCGGCCCGUCUGCACUUCUAGAAACCCUUUUUGCAGGCAUCUGGGGGGUGGGGGCUUCUACCCCACACAUGCAAGGCCUGCGGCCCCGGGCAGAGCCAGGCUGGGCCAUCUGUCUUCUCAUGCCUCCGGCCGCCUUGUGCGAGAGGCCACCCCCGCUGACACGUUUCAGAGCAUUUGAAAAUCAGUGCCCCGGCCACGGGUCAGCCAUUUGGUGUUGCACCAAGGGAUCCUCCGGCCUUCACCACCACCCAGACCGGCCAUGGAGCAGAGCAGUGAGAGGCCCAGGCUUUGGGGUCAGCCUAACGUGGGGUCAAGCUGGAGCCCCAGCUCAGCCAUACAAUGGCUGUGACCCUGAGUGAGUGCAGUGCCUUCCCGGGCCUCCGUUUCCUCGUCCCCGGAAUGAAGGGACACCGGCUCCUAGCACACUCCCCCUGCUGUGAGGAAUUCUGAGCGGUCACCGAGGCCCCACCCACAGCCCAGGAACUCACAGGGACCACGUCAGUUCACCCCAUCCUCUGCACCCAGCACAGGCCAUGCAAAUGUUUCCCGGAUGGACGCAUGAAGGCGGGGCCGGGGCGCGCGGCAGGUGACCCUCUGAACGCAAGGGAAGGACAGAGAGGUCCCAUCCUUCCGGUCCUAUCCCUCACAGCCACGAGGUAGGCAGGGGCCUCACACCCGUCGGCCAGCUAACAGACCUGUCCCCUCUUGUUCCAUGUUUGGAAGACAACCAGAGUCCCCCACAGGGGAGAGAAGAGUGGGGCCACUGUCUCAUCCUCUGCCCAACCUCUGCCUGUGCACAUGGCUGAGUUACCUGGGUCACUGUUUGCUGUAGAUGGGGCCCCACGGGGUCCCCUGCCCGCACACUCUGCAGGAGUCCCUGUGCUCUGCGGGCCCCGCACCGGCCUGUGUCUGCCUGUCCCCACUGGGGGGAGGGAUCCGGGAGAUCCCUGCGAUAGUCCAGUCUCACAGAAAGCAGCUCAUUUCAGUAUUUACCGUAUCCCGACAGGUCAGUGUGUGCAGAUCCUCUCUGUCUCUCUGUCUCUCUCUCUCCUUUCCACCCCACCUCCCACCAACAAUAUGUCAGGACGAUCGGUCCCCUCGAGCAAGGACAGUCAUACAAGCUGCCUGCGGCCGCACCUUGCCCAGUUCAACACUUGUCCAAAUCUCUGCAUUCGUUCUGCUAAAAACAAGUUCCCUCCAGAUGGGCCUUUUGUCUUUGCAGGAGGCCGGGGCUGAGGGCAGGGGGUGCCAGGUGGGGCUGCAGGAGGCUUGGCUGUGGGUGUCGUGGCCUUUCUGCCCAUAGCCAUGGACUUGAGGGGUGUUACUGACCUCGCAGAGCCUCAGCUUCCUCGUCAGCAAAGGGGGGCGAUCACAGCAGCUGCCUUGUCUGGAGGAUUCAGGGAAAGGGACAAGGAUCAUCAGCACCGUGUCAAGAAAUGAUGGUACUGGAUGGAGGAGAGGAUGCCUUCUCGUUUGGUCCUCAGGGCAGCCUGGGAGGCGGGUGUCCUGACGCAAACAGGAACCUGAGGGUCAGCAAGAUGAGCUGGGGGGCCCGGGGCACACUUCCUGGUGACAGGAGGCACUGGGACUUGAACGUGCUCUAUUCACCUCCAAAGCCCAUCCCAAUGGCUCAGGUGCAUCCAUGGAGGGGACAUCUGGCCCCCUGGGAUGCUCAGCUGCUGGGGAUCCCGGGCCACCAUGAUGUGAGGUUGGCCACUCUUCCUCACCUGAGCCCAGGAGGAGGCUGCAUACCACAGCAAGGACAGCUCUCCAUCCAAGGGGGCAGAUUCGGGACCUUGUGAGCCACCAGGGCACUAGGCUCCUGGUCCUGGAGCUGCUCCCUACUCCCAGGGGGACCUUGGGUGAGAGCAGCCUGAUUCUGAGCCCCCUGCAUUCCUGGAUGAACUGGCGUCCUGGUCGCACGUGGUGUGCUCGCCUCCAAAGGUAAGCCUUCCCAGUCAGGGACUCCCCGAGUUACUGGUGUCGGGGUAGCCGUGUCUCUGCUCUGACUCUUGGGUCCGGGCCCUCGAGUAGGACCCCCGAUGGCAUCCUGACCUCCCUGCCACUUGCUGGACAUUUCUCUAUGAAAUGAAUCCCACGGUACGCCUGGAGACAGGAUUAACUAGCCUUAUGAGGGGUCACCUCUGGAUAUAGUAAAGUUCCCUGAGUUUUACCUGUUACGGGAUUCCCCGCUGGACGUGGACACAGAGCUGGACAGGACCACAGGGAUUAUCUGUUCAAACACUUUGUUUUAAAGCUGGGGAAACAGGGGGGCCUCUGCCUCAGCCCCAGGCCUGGUCUCCGCAUCUCCUGCAGCUGCCGGGCUCCGCCUUGCUGCCCGGGGGCUCCCCUGCCCCACCCAGACCCCCACAGCAUCACCUGCUCUCGGUUUUCCGACCGGUCCCAGAGAGCGCUGAUUCUGAGUCUUCACCUUUGGGCGUGAAUCAUCCUGGAAGCGUCGCAAGCCCUUUCUGGGGCCCCGUGUCUGUUCUCUCGUCCUCAUGAGAAACAGGUUCCGAGUCGUUAGUCUGUUCACAAGAAAACCGAGGCCCAGCGGGGCGGGCCCUGCUCAAGGCCACACGGGGCUCCUGGCCCAUUUGUCACCGCAACCCGAUUCACCUGCCGAGCCUCAGUGAGGCUUUGAGACUCCAUUUCCCAGUGGGGGUCAUGAGGUCAAGUUCACCAGUUCCCCAUCCACAUUCUGGCCCCAAAUACAGAGGCAUUAUGGGGUUACUGUAGGGCUCCCCAGCUUCCUCUUCUGAUCACUUAAAAUAACAAACUUCAUUGUUUUCAAACUUCAUUGUGGUUCAUUCUUGCCGCAAAAAAGUAGCACCAAAGGACAAAGAAUCUAAAAUCCUUAAAAUGCACCCCAAGUAACACUUAUGUCAGGAAGACUCUCUGCCUGGCCCUCGCCUUCACCACUUGCCACCCCUGAUUCACUUCCACCCGCUCUGUCCUGCUGGGCGCGGGGAGGAGGCCUGGACGGA
Leptonychotes weddellii (Weddell seal) is the source of this 4351-nucleotide long non-coding RNA. RefSeq lists it as uncharacterized. The record is from RefSeq and is a predicted model, not a curated record. Lineage: Eukaryota; Metazoa; Chordata; Mammalia; Carnivora; Phocidae.